This 482-nucleotide ribosomal RNA is filed under the name uncultured bacterium. RNAcentral's name for it is "partial 16S ribosomal RNA". It matches the Rfam family "Bacterial small subunit ribosomal RNA", at positions 30 to 505 of the family's 1533-position model. The record is from RNAcentral.
AUUGAACGCUGGCGGCAGGCCUAACACAUGCAAGUCGAGCGGAUGAAGGGAGCUUGCUCCUGGAUUCAGCGGCGGACGGGUGAGUAAUGCCUAGGAAUCUGCCUGGUAGUGGGGGAUAACGUCCGGAAACGGGCGCUAAUACCGCAUACGUCCUGAGGGAGAAAGUGGGGGAUCUUCGGACCUCACGCUAUCAGAUGAGCCUAGGUCGGAUUAGCUAGUUGGUGGGGUAAAGGCCUACCAAGGCGACGAUCCGUAACUGGUCUGAGAGGAUGAUCAGUCACACUGGAACUGAGACACGGUCCAGACUCCUACGGGAGGCAGCAGUGGGGAAUAUUGGACAAUGGGCGAAAGCCUGAUCCAGCCAUGCCGCGUGUGUGAAGAAGGUCUUCGGAUUGUAAAGCACUUUAAGUUGGGAGGAAGGGCAGUAAGUUAAUACCUUGCUGUUGUGACGUUACCAACAGAAUAGGCACCGGCUAACUUCG